GAAAUGCGAUAAGUAAUGAGAAUUGCAGAAUUCAGUGAAUCAUCGAAUCUUUGAACGCACAUUGCGCCCCCUGGUAUUCCGGGGGGCAUGCCUGUUCGAGCGUCAUUUCACCACUCAAGCCUCGCUUGGUAUUGGGCGACGCGGUCCGCCGCGCGCCUCAAAUCGACCGGCUGGGUCUUCCGUCCCCUCAGCGUUGUGGAAACUAUUCGCUAAAGGGUGCCGCGGGAGGUCACGCCGCAAAACAACCCCAUUUCUAAGGUUGACCUCGGAUCAGGUAGGGAUACCCGCUGAACUUAAGC
RNAcentral lists this unclassified non-coding RNA (299 nucleotides) under plant metagenome. RNAcentral's name for it is "partial contains 5.8S ribosomal RNA, internal transcribed spacer 2, and large subunit ribosomal RNA". The stretch from base 1 to 105 matches the Rfam family "5.8S ribosomal RNA", at positions 50 to 154 of the family's 154-position model. The record is from RNAcentral.